Molecule: non-coding RNA, 181 nt
Organism: Lolium perenne
Lineage: Eukaryota; Viridiplantae; Streptophyta; Magnoliopsida; Poales; Poaceae
Source: RefSeq, a predicted model, not a curated record
AGAGCCCACAAGAUACAUAUAUUACAACAACAACUCCAACGAGUCAAGAUACAAAUAUACAAUACAAAGAUCCAAAUCAUACAGAAGAUCGAAUACGUCCGAGUACGGACAAGAUACAAAUUGGACUAAGAGUCCUGAAGAUAACCAUGGCGUCCAUAACCCUGCCCAGGCCAAGCCGGAA